This is a long non-coding RNA of Argentina anserina (silverweed cinquefoil), 292 nucleotides long. RefSeq lists it as uncharacterized. The record is from RefSeq and is a predicted model, not a curated record. Lineage: Eukaryota; Viridiplantae; Streptophyta; Magnoliopsida; Rosales; Rosaceae. The transcript is spliced from 3 exons.
GCCGGAAGUUACUGCUGUGGCGGCGCCUCCUCCUCCGGCCACCAUGGCUCAAGAUUCUUGGGGGGUUUUGCUUGUCUCAGUCCCAGCAACAUUCCCACAAAAGGAAUCGAGCCAAAUCGAAGUGUGACUGACGAAACGAGUGAGGAAAUUACUUUCAGGGUCGUGGAAGUUGCACGCAGGAAAGAAGUGGAUAACUCCGCAGGUGUGGAUUAGCGGGAAUUGACGGACCACUCAGAGGACUUGAAGUUAUUUAUCUCCAGCUUAUGUGAGGAUUUUGUGUGACUAUCUUGUG